RNAcentral lists this ribosomal RNA (446 nucleotides) under uncultured bacterium. RNAcentral describes it as "partial 16S ribosomal RNA". It matches the Rfam family "Bacterial small subunit ribosomal RNA", at positions 338 to 795 of the family's 1533-position model. The record is from RNAcentral.
CCUACGGGUGGCAGCAGUCGAGAAUCAUUCACAAUGGGGGAAACCCUGAUGGUGCGACGCCGCGUGGGGGAAUGAAGGUCUUCGGAUUGUAAACCCCUGUCAUGUGGGAGCAAAUUAAAAAGAUAGUACCCCAAGAGGAAGAGACGGCUAACUCUGUGCCAGCAGCCGCGGUAAUACAGAGGUCUCAAGCGUUGUUCGGAAUCACUGGGCGUAAAGCGUGCGGAGGCUGUUUCGUAAGUCGUGUGUGAAAGGCGCGGGCUCAACCCGCGGACGGCACAUGAUACUGCGAGACUAGAGUAAUGGAGGGGGAAGCGGAAUUCUCGGUGUAGCAGUGAAAUGCGUAGAUAGCGAGAGGAACACUCGUGGCGAAGGCGGGUUCCUGGACAUUAACUGACGCUGAGGCACGAAGGCCAGGGGAGCGAAAGGGAUUAGAUACCCCUGUAGUC